RNAcentral lists this ribosomal RNA (518 nucleotides) under uncultured bacterium. RNAcentral describes it as "bacterial SSU rRNA". It matches the Rfam family "Bacterial small subunit ribosomal RNA", at positions 993 to 1512 of the family's 1533-position model. The record is from RNAcentral.
GCAGGAUAGUAAUGUAUCCGUCCCUUCGGGGCAGUGGAGACAGGUGGUGCAUGGUUGUCGUCAGCUCGUGUCGUGAGAUGUUGGGUUAAGUCCCGCAACGAGCGCAACCCUUACCUUCAGUAGCCAGCACGUAAUGGUGGGCACUCUGGAGGGACUGCCGGGGACAACCCGGAGGAAGGUGGGGACGACGUCAAAUCAUCAUGCCCCUUAUGGCCUGGGCUACACACGUGCUACAAUGGCGUAAACAGAGGGAGGCAGCCCCGCGAGGGUGAGCAAACCCCAAAAAUAACGUCCCAGUUCGGAUUGCAGUCUGCAACUCGACUGCAUGAAGCUGGAAUCGCUAGUAAUCGCGGAUCAGAAUGCCGCGGUGAAUACGUUCCCGGGUCUUGUACACACCGCCCGUCACACCAUGGGAGUUGGUAACGCCCGAAGUCAGUGACCUAACCGAAAGGGAGGAGCUGCCGAAGGUGGGACCAGUGACUGGGGUGAAGUCGUAACAAGGUAGCCGUAUCGGAAGG